Molecule: ribosomal RNA, 207 nt
Filed under: uncultured bacterium
Lineage: Bacteria
Description: partial 16S ribosomal RNA
Rfam family: Bacterial small subunit ribosomal RNA
Source: RNAcentral
CACGUAGGCGGGCUGUUAAGUUAGAGGUGAAAUCCCGGGGCUCAACCCCGGAACUGCCUUUAAUACUGGCAGCCUAGAGUUCGAGAGAGGUGAGUGGAAUUCCGAGUGUAGAGGUGAAAUUCGUAGAUAUUCGGAGGAACACCAGUGGCGAAGGCGGCUCACUGGCUCGAUACUGACGCUGAGGUGCGAAAGCGUGGGGAGCAAACA